RNAcentral lists this ribosomal RNA (167 nucleotides) under uncultured Alphaproteobacteria bacterium. RNAcentral describes it as "partial 16S ribosomal RNA". It matches the Rfam family "Bacterial small subunit ribosomal RNA", at positions 337 to 522 of the family's 1533-position model. The record is from RNAcentral. Lineage: Bacteria; Pseudomonadati; Pseudomonadota; Alphaproteobacteria.
UCCUACGGGAGGCAGCAGUGGGGAAUAUUGGACAAUGGGCGCAAGCCUGAUCCAGCCAUGCCGCGUGGGUGAAGAAGGCCUUAGGGUUGUAAACCCUUUCAGCGGGGAAGAUAAUGACGGUACCCGCAGAAGAAGCCCCGGCUAACUCCGUGCCAGCAGCCGCGGUA